RNAcentral lists this ribosomal RNA (253 nucleotides) under uncultured bacterium. RNAcentral's name for it is "partial 16S ribosomal RNA". It matches the Rfam family "Bacterial small subunit ribosomal RNA", at positions 524 to 776 of the family's 1533-position model. The record is from RNAcentral.
UACAGGGGGGGCGAGCGUUGUUCGGAAUUACUGGGCGUAAAGGGUUUGUAGGUGGCUUGCUCAGUCAGACGUGAAAUCCCUCAGCUUAACUGGGGAACUGCGUCUGAUACUAGCGAGCUUGAGUGCAGGGGAGGAACGCGGAAUUCCUGGUGUAGCGGUGAAAUGCGCAGAUAUCAGGAGGAACACCGAUGGCGAAGGCAGGUCUCUGGGCAUUAACUGACGCUGAGGAGCGAAGGCAUGGGGAGCGAACAGG